UACGUAGGGUGCAAGCGUUGUCCGGAAUUAUUGGGCGUAAAGAGCUCGUAGGCGGUCUGUCGCGUCUGCUGUGAAAACUCGGGGCUUAACCCCGGGCCUGCAGUGGGUACGGGCAGACUAGAGUGCGGUAGGGGAGACUGGAAUUCCCGGUGUAGCGGUGAAAUGCGCAGAUAUCGGGAAGAACACCCGUGGCGAAGGCGGCUCUCUGGGACGGUACUGACGCUGAGACGCGAAAGCGUGGGGAGCGAACAGG
This 253-nucleotide ribosomal RNA is filed under the name uncultured bacterium. RNAcentral's name for it is "partial 16S ribosomal RNA". It matches the Rfam family "Bacterial small subunit ribosomal RNA", at positions 524 to 776 of the family's 1533-position model. The record is from RNAcentral.